GUGAGGAAUAUUGGUCAAUGGGCGGGAGCCUGAACCAGCCAAGUCGCGUGAAGGAAGAAGGAUCUAUGGUUCGUAAACUUCUUUUGCAGGGGAAUAAAGUGCAGGACGUGUCCUGUUUUGUAUGUACCCUGAGAAUAAGGAUCGGCUAACUCCGUGCCAGCAGCCGCGGUAAUACGGAGGAUCCGAGCGUUAUCCGGAUUUAUUGGGUUUAAAGGGUGCGUAGGUGGUUUGAUAAGUCAGUGGUGAAAGUUUGCAGCUUAACUGUAAAAAUGCCGUUGAAACUGUCGGACUUGAGUGUAAAUGAGGUAGGCGGAAUGCGUGGUGUAGCGGUGAAAUGCAUAGAUAUCACGCAGAACUCCGAUUGCGAAGGCAGCUUACUAAGCUACAACUGACACUGAAGCACGAAAGCGUGGGGAUCAAACAGGAUUAGAAACCCCGGUAGUCC
RNAcentral lists this ribosomal RNA (445 nucleotides) under uncultured bacterium. RNAcentral's name for it is "partial 16S ribosomal RNA". It matches the Rfam family "Bacterial small subunit ribosomal RNA", at positions 354 to 796 of the family's 1533-position model. The record is from RNAcentral.